RNAcentral lists this ribosomal RNA (274 nucleotides) under uncultured bacterium. RNAcentral describes it as "partial 16S ribosomal RNA". It matches the Rfam family "Bacterial small subunit ribosomal RNA", at positions 523 to 796 of the family's 1533-position model. The record is from RNAcentral.
AUACGGAGGGUGCAAGCGUUAUUCGGAAUCACUGGGCGUAAAGGACGCGUAGGCGGGUUGGCAAGUCAGAUGUGAAAUCCUACAGCUUAACUGUAGAACUGGAUUUGAAACUGCUAACCUAGAGUAUGGGAGGGGGAGAUGGAAUUAGUGGUGUAGGGGUAAAAUCCGUAGAUAUCACUAGGAAUACCGAAAGCGAAGGCGAUCUCCUGGAACAUAACUGACGCUAAGGCGUGAAAGCGUGGGGAGCAAACAAGAUUAGAUACCCCAGUAGUCC